GGGGCCGAUCGGUAUCGACCGGAUAGCUCCGGUAUAUUGUGGCACGUCGAGGUGUACGCUGGCCUCGUAAAACUGCGUACAAAAACCAUAAAUGCCAAUGACACAAACGUCAUCGGUCGCAUCGGCUUUGGUCAAACUCAGCCCAUGCGCAUGGCUGCCUGAUACAGGCAUCCUCGUUGCGGCAUCACUUGUCUGUGGUGAUGUCACAACGGCGACUUAGCAGACUCGUCCAACUGUGAUGUCUUAGCACACGCGGAUUAAACAACACUCAGGCUCGAACCCAAACAUGCUGUCGCUGGCAGGGGCGGGUUUUAAACUCAAAUCAACGACUAAACGUGUAGAGGCAAUAUAUCAACUACCACGGGACGGGGGUUCAAUUCCCCCCGGCUCCAU
RNAcentral lists this transfer-messenger RNA (393 nucleotides) under marine eukaryotic metagenome. It matches the Rfam family "transfer-messenger RNA". From Rfam's summary of the family: Bacterial tmRNA, also known as 10Sa RNA or SsrA, is named for its dual tRNA and mRNA-like properties. The record is from RNAcentral.